This is a long non-coding RNA of Raphanus sativus (radish), 740 nucleotides long. RefSeq lists it as uncharacterized. The transcript is spliced from 3 exons. Lineage: Eukaryota; Viridiplantae; Streptophyta; Magnoliopsida; Brassicales; Brassicaceae. The record is from RefSeq and is a predicted model, not a curated record.
AAGAACAUUUAUGUAAAACUGCCAUUAAUCCAAUCAUGUAACAGUUAGGUAUAAUCACAGUCAAGCAGGAGACUGAAAUCGUCAUUGACCUUCCCAAUUUGUUAAAGCUUGAAAAUUCCGCCGUUAACAAGCCGUUCAAUUCAACCAACAAGAGAUCUGGAAACUGUUAUCUUAACCGCCGAGGUUAAUGAAUUGGCUGAGAAGUAUCUGAGAGUUUUGACUUUAAGGAGUGUUGUUUUGUCUCAUGCGAGUUGGAUGGCCAUUGCUUGGUAACUUGGUAGAAGGGGACAAUGAGAAUAACAACACUAUGGAAGAAAAAAACAUUGGGUUGUGAUGAUGAAUCAGUGGUGUCCAAGAGACUCCCGUUGGCUCCUUUUGGCUUAGUUACCUACAAAUGCAAGGAGGUUUGUGGGAGAAACAACAUUAUGUUGACCAGUAACAGUUAGUUUAUCUUGGAAAUGCAGCGAAGUCAUGGCUGAAGCAGCUUAAUGUACAUGAUCACCAUGACUACAGCCUUUUCUCUGUGAACAAGAGCUUGUAGAGGUCCAAGUGACAAGACUCUGUUUUUGGCUCUGUUUUUAGUUGUUUUUUAGAUACAUAUUGCAGAGGUUUCUUGCCCAUGUGUUGCAGCCAUGGAAAAUAAAGAACAUGGGUUUAGGUUUUGAGUUUACAAAUGAUGAGAUAAACAAUGGUCUUAUUAUUUGACCUUUGAGAGACAUACACAUAGAAAUGAACCUUAU